Molecule: ribosomal RNA, 506 nt
Filed under: uncultured bacterium
Lineage: Bacteria
Description: partial 16S ribosomal RNA
Rfam family: Bacterial small subunit ribosomal RNA
Source: RNAcentral
AGUGAACGCUGGCGGUAGGCCUAACACAUGCAAGUCGAACGGCAGCACAGGAGAGCUUGCUCUCUGGGUGGCGAGUGGCGGACGGGUGAGGAAUACAUCGGAAUCUACUCUGUCGUGGGGGAUAACGUAGGGAAACUUACGCUAAUACCUCAUACGACCCACGGGUGAAAGCAGGGGACCUUCGGGCCUUGCGCGAUUGAAUGAGCCGAUGUCGGAUUAGCUAGUUGGCGGGGUAAAGGCCCACCAAGGCGACGAUCCGUAGCUGGUCUGAGAGGAUGAUCAGCCACACUGGAACUGAGAUACGGUCCAGACUCCUACGGGAGGCAGCAGUGGGGAAUAUUGGACAAUGGGCGCAAGCCUGAUCCAGCCAUACCGCGUGGGUGAAGAAGGCCUUCGGGUUGUAAAGCCCUUUUGUUGGGAAAGAAAUCCAGCUGGCUAAUACCCGGUUGGGAUGACGGUACCCAAAGAAUAAGCACCGGCUAACUUCGUGCCAGCCGCCGCCGUAA